Molecule: ribosomal RNA, 161 nt
Filed under: Buxus natalensis
Lineage: Eukaryota; Viridiplantae; Streptophyta; Magnoliopsida; Buxales; Buxaceae
Description: Notobuxus natalensis 5.8S ribosomal RNA
Rfam family: 5.8S ribosomal RNA
About the family: 5.8S ribosomal RNA (5.8S rRNA) is a component of the large subunit of the eukaryotic ribosome. It is transcribed by RNA polymerase I as part of the 45S precursor that also contains 18S and 28S rRNA.
Source: RNAcentral
AUGACUCUCAGGAAUUGAUAUCUCAGCUCUCGCAUCGAUGAAGAACGUAGCGAAAUGCGAUACUUGGUGUGAAUUGCAGAAUCCCGUGAAUCAUGGAAUCUUUGAGCGCAAGUUGUGCCCCAAGCCAUAUGGCCGAAGGCACGUCUGCCAAGGUGUCACGC